Molecule: transfer RNA, 87 nt
Filed under: Chloroflexota bacterium
Lineage: Bacteria; Bacillati; Chloroflexota
Description: Chloroflexi bacterium (anaerobic digester metagenome) tRNA-Ser
Rfam family: tRNA
About the family: Transfer RNA (tRNA) molecules are approximately 80 nucleotides in length. Their secondary structure includes four short double-helical elements and three loops (D, anti-codon, and T loops).
Source: RNAcentral
GGAGGGGUGCCGGAGAGGCUGAUCGGGGCGGUCUCGAAAACCGUUGUGGCGCUUGCGUCACCGUGGGUUCGAAUCCCACCCCCUCCG